Molecule: ribosomal RNA, 253 nt
Filed under: uncultured bacterium
Lineage: Bacteria
Description: partial 16S ribosomal RNA
Rfam family: Bacterial small subunit ribosomal RNA
Source: RNAcentral
UACAGAGGUCUCAAGCGUUGUUCGGAUUCAUUGGGCGUAAAGGGUGCGUAGGUGGCGCCGUAAGUGGGGUGUGAAAUUUCGGAGCUCAACUCCGAAACUGCAUUCCAUACUGCGGUGCUUGAGGACUGGAGAGGAGACUGGAAUUCACGGUGUAGCAGUGAAAUGCGUAGAGAUCGUGAGGAAGACCAGUGGCGAAGGCGGGUCUCUGGACAGUUCCUGACACUGAGGCACGAAGGCUAGGGGAGCAAACGGG